Molecule: long non-coding RNA, 3347 nt
Organism: Bombus terrestris (buff-tailed bumblebee)
Lineage: Eukaryota; Metazoa; Arthropoda; Insecta; Hymenoptera; Apidae
Exons: 6
Source: RefSeq, a predicted model, not a curated record
UUUUCACCGCUACGUGGUGAUAGGGUUUCAACGUUCAAGUGUCUGUAAAGCGAGAAAAUUUUCAUUAUUAUGAAAAAAAAAUUGAUUAAGAACCUUGUUGAAUGUGACUUUUGUGAUACCGUCUUCCAAAUUAGAUCCUUAUCUUUUUUUUUAUACGCCAUCUGAUCAGCAAGAUGCACGAAUAAAAAUUUACAAAUUCCCUCCAAAUAAGUAGAUUAUUUUAAAAAGCUGUGCCUUCACAUAUAUUUUUAUACAUGUAAUGAUGUUUGUGGCAAUUAUAAACGUAUAUAAAAAGAGAGUAUAUGUAUAUAGAUGGAGUUUACAUCUGACUUUGAACGAAUUAAAGUACUAAGAGUAUAUAAUUCAUUUUUUAAAGAAUCAUUCGUUUGUAAUUUAAGAUACAGUCCCAUUUAAUUAAUUGUUUUUACUACAUUAUCAUGUUUUUCAACAAUCGCAAUAUACACGGAAAUUUGUUAUAUUUGAUUCGAUAUUUUACUUUGUGUAUACGUUGAGCUCGCGACGCAUAUGUAAUAUGAUAUAACGCAAAUAUUUAGGGUGUGUUACUUUACAAUACAGCUAGAUAAUACAAGAAGAAAGAAAAAAGAAAAAAAUACGAUGUUUUCUUAAUAUUUAAACGUAUUUAAUACUUUAGUUAUUUUUAACACGAUUGAAAAGUUGAUCCGAUAAUAUAUCAACGAUAAUCUGGUAAUUUAUCAGAACUAAGCACCCCAUGUUCUACAAGACAUGUUCUGAGAAGUACCUAGUUUUUAUUUCAUUUCACAAGUUCUGCAAUAUUUAUUGCUGAAGGAAAGGAGGAUCUACGCGAAAGUUUUAAAGUAACCACGAUGGUCAUUAAGAAGCAGGAUUAUCAUCUAUUUGUCUCUCAGACAUUUCUUAAUCAUUUCUUUACAAUUAAAUUCUUUCAUCUAACUUUAGGAAUAUUGAUAACCGAAGUAUUUAUAUUUUAUAAACAUGUUAUUCUAAAAUCUUAUCAGAUUUAUCAUUCAGUCUCAUAAAAUGAGUAGUACGUGGUUCUUCGAUGCAAUCCUAAACGAUGAGAAGUAUUACGUAAAUACGUUUUCCGAUCCUUUUAAUAUAUGUGUAGUGCAUAAUCAGAUGAAAUAUCGUUUACCAUAAAUAUUUCUCAUACUGAUAACCGUUCUAUUCAGAAACACUUUGUAUAUGUUCUUUCAUUACUUGUUGUAUAAACUGUGGCUGACGCAAACGGGAAAAAGCUCAGGCAGAUGGCCGUUCCUUAUCGUUCGAUGCAAAUUACAAAUUUUCCAUUAUAACUGGCAGUUUGAUUAUGAAUUGGACAAAUAUUAACUCAUGACGCGAAAAAAAUGUAUCUGAAAUAAUCGUGUGAAUAAGCAGAAGAUUUUAACUCCUUACCUCGUGGUACAAGAUAAAAAUUGCAGUACAAAUCGACCUAAAAAAUGUGUCAAUAUUAACUUGGAAUAAAUGCGUCAUCUAUGACUUCAAGAGAAUAUGCACGAAAAUCACGCUUUCUCACGUACUUCGGUAAACGAUGACGUCAAGAUUCAGCUGAAAACAGAUUCCUCUGUGUUUUUGGGGAUUUUCGGAUUACCUGAUUUCGUCUUUUACCGUCCCCGGUAACGUUUAAUGAAUUCUUGAAGUUCUUCUUUCUACGGAACAACGCUUCGAAGUAGUUUCGAUAGAAAAUCAAAGAUCGUGCGGUAUAUUAAAAUCCAUGUAUAACUGCAAAUGUCGAUAUGUCGCAUUAUCGUUGAUCAUUAAAGUAGAUAGAUUUACGAGCACGUCUUACGUUCGUUAAGCUGAAGAGAAGCCAUUAAUAGUAGGUUGUUAUCGAAUGUCCAUUUCCGCGGGUGUGGUUUAUCAGCGAGACAUUAGAUGAGGUUAAAAAUAGAAAAUACUUUGUCAUAAUACAUAGGUAUAUACGACCGAUAUAUGACUUCAGUAUAUGCUAUGAUAUUAUCUAUAUCCGAAGAUAUUAGAAAGAUAUAAAGAUCAAAUAUAUAUCCAUAUGUAUACAUACAAAUUGGCUCGCAAAGGUAUUCGUACAUUUACCAUGAAAAAUUUUCAUGUGCGUGUCAUGCGUAUUAUAUAAAACAUUCUGAAAUUUUAUUAACGCUGUGAUGAGACACGACUGAUAUGACUAUGUCGGCAAAACUCAAAUCCAAUUUGAAAAUAUACAUGCAUACUUAGAAGUUGCAAGGUAUUUACUGUAAACUUAUAUUUUGUGAAAAGUUAGUAUUAUGAAUAAUUAGUAGAAAAAUCUUAGGCAUAUUAUAAUAACUAUUAAAGUGAAUGAUUGCCUGUUCAAAUAUUUUUGUGUCUGCAAAAUAUAUACAUCUUGCAAUUUCUAUAUACGUUUACAAAAAACUCAAAAAAAGGAAUCCCAAAAAUCCAAAAUUCUAUCAAAUAAUAGUUAUUAAUAAUCAUAAUACUUGGGCGUCGUUACAGUACCAAUAAAAUUUUGAAAUGUUUCGUUUAACAUACGUGAUAAUGUUCAUGAGAAGUGUGCGACUACUACGAGAGCUAAACAGUUGCAUUUUUUACCACUAUCUGCAUAUGUAUCCAACAAUGUGGAAUGAUUUAUUAGAUUAAUUUCCUCGAUAGAAAAUGUUAUGUUAAUGUAACAUUUCAUCUCUAGCUAUGUGUAUGUUAAUGAAAUAUAAAUUACAAAGGGUUUACAGAUUAAUUUCUUAAAAACUAAAGUUAUGUUCAUAUUACAUAUGAUUUGCAAUCUUUCUUCCACUAUUUUCCACAGGGUUAUUCUAAUAUUUUCGUAAUCUAUGCGUUAAAAUAUAUCGAUUGGCAUAUAACACGUGCAUUUUAUAAGAUAUGACUUUGCAAAUAUUUCCUUCCUAUGUUAUUCUCAAGGCGAUGGUAAUAAUGCGACAAAAAGUUUUGAAAAAUUCAUUAAUAAUUUAUCAUUAAUUGCUAUUUUUAUCCUUAGAAUUUGAUGAACUUUGGAGUACGAAUUCAUAACAUCAUAAUAAAUUAUCCUCUUUGAAAUUAUGACACCUUCACAUGUCUAUUACAUUAGUAUAAUCAGCAUCUAUGAAGCAACGUAUAAGAUAUUUUCCUCCGACUUUUUACGUAUUUAUUCACGUUUUUUUUUUUUUUUUUUUUUUUUUUGAGUAAAUAAAAGCGGAUUGAGUUACGAUUAAUUAUAUAAAAUAUACAUGAAACCAGGAGGCGAAGAAGGGAAUAAUAGAUCAUAUCAAUUGUUAAACACAAUAAUAUCCAAUAAUAGAUUAAGAUAAAACGUCUCUCGAAAUUGUAUCGAUGGUAUCAAUUAAUAUUGUAUAAUACAAAAUGUACUCUCUUCUUCUAAAAAUAAAAUUCGAAGGAUUAUAGUA